CUGAUGUACGAAGGGCUACAUAAAUACAUUUGAUUUGAUUUGUUUGUUUUCAGGAUGACAUCUUCAUCCCUGAAAAUGUUUUCAUCCUGGUGGAGACUGUGCAGGAGGCAUGUGGAAAGAACGGUUAGUGCAUCAUGCCAAACUGACCACCUGGUGCCAGAGUGUUCCUGUGCUGCGGUGGAGAAGAGGUCCAGCGGGACCAUCACCAAAGAGCUCAGGGCCCAGCUAGAUUGCGCUCAGAACCAUCAGUAUACAAUCGAGUCCUGCCCCUAUACGCCACAGAUGGAGCUGACGGAGAGUGAGAUCAGUGAAGACCAUAACUCGCUGUAUGGACCUGAGAGCUCAGAAUCACAAUCAUCUCAGUGUGAGCCAAGAUAUACUAUCGAUCACUUUGGGGGAGCGGGAUGGUGUUCUGAAAAUGGAGAAGGAGCAGGCCAUUCAACAGCCAAUUCAAAGAUACACCCAUCCAUAAAGGGAAUCCGAGUGGAAUUGUUUUUCCACAUAUAUAUAUUUUUUUACCCAUUUCAAUGGAUGUGCUACCUUGUCCCAGUUCUGCUUUUUCGACUCUCUCUCUCAACCUAUGAACGCUCAGCUAGGAAAAGCCAAUUGACAUUUGCUCCUGAGGUGUUGAACUGUUACACCCUCUGUAAUCACUGUGGUUAUUAUUUCUGAUGUAAAAAGGGCUUUUGGACAAAUAUAUUUGAUUGAUUGAUUGUUUGCUGUGC
Molecule: long non-coding RNA, 725 nt
Organism: Oncorhynchus tshawytscha (Chinook salmon)
Lineage: Eukaryota; Metazoa; Chordata; Actinopteri; Salmoniformes; Salmonidae
Source: Ensembl